RNAcentral lists this ribosomal RNA (253 nucleotides) under uncultured bacterium. Its description in RNAcentral is "partial 16S ribosomal RNA". It matches the Rfam family "Bacterial small subunit ribosomal RNA", at positions 524 to 776 of the family's 1533-position model. The record is from RNAcentral.
UACGUAGGUGGCAAGCGUUGUCCGGAUUUACUGGGUGUAAAGGGCGUGUAGCCGGGCUGACAAGUCAGAUGUGAAAUCCGGGGGCUCAACCCCCGAACUGCAUUUGAAACUGUUGGUCUUGAGUAUCGGAGAGGCAGGCGGAAUUCCUAGUGUAGCGGUGAAAUGCGUAGAUAUUAGGAGGAACACCGGUGGCGAAGGCGGCCUGCUGGACUGCAACUGACGUUGAGGCCCGAAAGCGUGGGGAGCAAACAGG